AUAGUACUCCCUCCGUCCGGAAUUACUUGUCAUAAAAGUGGAUAAUAAUGGAUGUAUCUAGAAAAAAAAUACAUCUAGAUAUAUCCAUUCCUCCAACAAGUAUUUCCGGACGGAGAGAGUAGCAA
Molecule: non-coding RNA, 125 nt
Organism: Hordeum vulgare subsp. vulgare (domesticated barley)
Lineage: Eukaryota; Viridiplantae; Streptophyta; Magnoliopsida; Poales; Poaceae
Source: Rfam